UACGUAGGGUGCAAGCGUUGUCCGGAAUUAUUGGGCGUAAAGAGCUCGUAGGCGGUUUGUCGCGUCUGCUGUGAAAACCUAAGGCUCAACCUUGGGCUUGCAGUGGGUACGGGCAGACUAGAGUGCGGUAGGGGUGACUGGAAUUCCUGGUGUAGCGGUGAAAUGCGCAGAUAUCAGGAGGAACACCGAUGGCGAAGGCAGGUCUCUGGGCAUUAACUGACGCUGAGGAGCGAAAGCAUGGGGAGCGAACAGG
RNAcentral lists this ribosomal RNA (253 nucleotides) under uncultured bacterium. RNAcentral describes it as "partial 16S ribosomal RNA". It matches the Rfam family "Bacterial small subunit ribosomal RNA", at positions 524 to 776 of the family's 1533-position model. The record is from RNAcentral.